RNAcentral lists this ribosomal RNA (515 nucleotides) under uncultured Amaricoccus sp. Its description in RNAcentral is "bacterial SSU rRNA". It matches the Rfam family "Bacterial small subunit ribosomal RNA", at positions 28 to 589 of the family's 1533-position model. The record is from RNAcentral. Lineage: Bacteria; Pseudomonadati; Pseudomonadota; Alphaproteobacteria; Rhodobacterales; Paracoccaceae.
AACGAACGCUGGCGGCAGGCUUAACACAUGCAAGUCGAGCGCAUCCUUCGGGAUGAGCGGCGGACGGGUUAGUAACGCGUGGGAACGUGCCUCUCGCUACGGAAUAGCCCAGGGAAACUUGGAUUAAUGCCGUAUGCGCCCUUUGGGGGAAAGAUUUAUCGGCGAGAGAUCGGCCCGCGUCUGAUUAGGUAGUUGGUGGGGUAAUGGCCUACCAAGCCGACGAUCAGUAGCUGGUUUGAGAGGAUGAUCAGCAACACUGGGACUGAGACACGGCCCAGACUCCUACGGGAGGCAGCAGUGGGGAAUCUUGGACAAUGGGGGCAACCCUGAUCCAGCCAUGCCGCGUGAACGAUGAAGGCCUUAGGGUUGUAAAGUUCUUUCACCGGGGAAGAUAAUGACGGUACCCGGAGAAGAAGCCCCGGCUAACUCCGUGCCAGCAGCCGCGGUAAUACGGAGGGGGCUAGCGUUGUUCGGAAUUACUGGGCGUAAAGCGCACGUAGGCGGAUCAGUCAGUC